Molecule: long non-coding RNA, 2827 nt
Filed under: Mytilus galloprovincialis (Mediterranean mussel)
Lineage: Eukaryota; Metazoa; Mollusca; Bivalvia; Mytilida; Mytilidae
Source: RNAcentral
GGCCUCCCUAACUUCCGGAUAGGCGCCAUAUUGGAAAAAACUGAUGUUACUCAAAGAGGUAAGUCGUCAAUUUGAAAUGUUGAAUUAAGAAAAUCGAGCAAACUAAUUUUAUAUUGGAUUAGUUUAUAUUGUACUGUGAGUUAAAAAUUUUGAUGUUAUCAUAUUUUUAUAAACAAAAUUAUUAUGGUUAUUGAGAAAAAGUUCAGCAUUGCCAAGAAUGUUGCGAAAACACAUGUCUGAUAAAACCAAGUCUUGGUUUUAUGAAUUUUUCACAAUUGCUCGUUUUUGGAUAAGAGAUUUCUUUAAAUUAAAGGUCCGAUAGAAGUUUGAUAUGUUUUUGAAUGUUUAUAUAACAACAUCAUUACAGAUCGAAAGCAAAUUAUGCAUUUUGACGCACAUGUUAUGCCGCUUCAUUGUUAUUCAAAUGAGCGACCAUAACCGGUUGUUUGUGUACUUUAACACACAUGAUGUAUCAUUGAAAAAGUGUAGGCAUUGUAUGGUAUGAAUAUUUCUAUAUAUCUGUAAUUUAAACUAUAAUUGCUAACUUCAAUACAUUAAUUGUUGCAUGUACUUUGACAGAGAGUUGUCUCAUUGACAAUCAUAUAUACAUGUAGCCAUCCUUAUCUUCUUAUUUAUAUUUUUAAUACACACAUAUAUACAUGUUUAAUGAUUUGAAUUCAAACACGUAUCAGUUUCAAUUCAAACAAGUAUCAGGUGUUGUUCAGUUUCAUUUCAUUUGACUUGAGUUGGGAGGACACAAAUUUUUUAAGAACAAUUACUCAAGCUUGAAAAUAUGUGGAUAGGUCAGGAAAACUAUAAAAAAAGUUGUGAUUAUAUCAAUAAACUUCCAAUAACUUCUUCGUCUCUCAUCCUUCUGAGGGGGAGGACAGGGGUAAGGGAGACAGGGAGAAAGGGGGUAGGAGAAAGGAGAAAGGGGGUGGGAGAAAGGAGAAAGGGGGUAGGAGAAAGGAGAGGAAGGCUGGGAGAAAGGAGAAAAAGUUUGAGAAAGGAGAAAAAAUAAAAUAUCUCUCCUUUUAAAAAAAUUUCUAAUAUUUCAAGAAAAAAUAUCUCAAAAGGAGAUGUUUUAUUCUAAUGGGAGAAAGGAGAACGGGGGUAGGAGAAAGGAGAAGAGGGAUGGGAGAAGGGAGAAGGGUACCCCCCUGUCCUCCCCCUCCCUUCUCGGUGUGACAUAAGCUGUUUUUAUCAAUCUUUUUAUACACAUUGGUAUUCCACUCUUUUAUUGCAGAGCAUUAAUACCCACAUGAAACCCAAACAUUAUAUAGGUAUUAAAAGGUUACAUUUUCACCUAUCUGUAUUUGCAAUUUAUCAUGUUGCAAAACAAUAUAUAUCCAUCAUUUGUGAAGUUAUUUCACUCUAUAUAUGUGUCCUUUAGCUACCCUAUAUUUAUUUAUGCUUUGAAUGAUCCAGUACUUUAUAGUCAUGUCCAUAUAUUCAUAUUAUGUCUUUCUAUAAUUUCAGUCAGUGGAAAUACAUAGAAUCAACAUCCUAGCUGAUUUUGCAAUUUUUCAUACAGACUAUGAAAACACUGCUGUAGUUCUUUGAUUCUUUAAUAAGUUGUACAUGUUGUGAUGUAACAAAUUACUUUUCAUAAACUGCAUGUACAAAAUGAAUGAAAGAAGGUAAGAUAUUAAAGUUAGUCUCAAAUAGUUAUUUAUACUUGUGAGAAAGUUGCAUGUAAUACAAAUGUAUUUCAUAGAAAAUGAUUCCUCUUGUUAUUGACUUACAAAUAUAACUCAGUCUCAAAUGAAAUGAAAGUUCAAAGAUUUAAGAAUACAAACAAGUACACAUGUGCAUACACAAACGUUAACAUAUUAUUGACUAUAUUAACAUUUGCCAUGCAAGAUAUCAAAAUAUUUUUAUAGUAUACAGCUAUUGACCAUUUUUACAUCACAGACUACAAAUUUUGUGGACUCAGUGAAAUUAAGUCAUGUACAUGUAUUUGCAGAUUUUUCCAUCUUUCGUACAUGUAGGUGUAAUUAAGAUUGAGCCAAACUGCAUUGAAAAAUGUGCUGGAACAGUUUACAUUUAUAAUAUUACUUUGUAAUGAGCACCAUAGGCUGAUCCAGGGGGCUUUAUGAAGCCCUUUUGUUGAAAAAAUUUUGGUUAAUUAUAUUGAAAAUCACUGAAGCAUGACUUGAGAGUGGCCCCCUAAGGUCAGUCAGAGUACAAAAAGUUCUGGAUCUGCCACUAAGAAUCUACAUGUAUACCAAUAUAAAAUACCUGACACUCUAAAACAAGCAUAAUUUUUUUAAUGGUUUACAAUCAGGACGACAUCAACAUUGACCUUCUUCAUUUUUGGGGUCAAAUGUGACAGGGCUGCCACUUUUUAAGGACAUCAUCGAUUAUUUCAAUUACAUAUUGAGGUUGAAAUGCUUUUGUAAAAUUUAGUUACACAUUUAUGAUAAUUUGAUAAAGCUUAAAUCAAUGUAAGCGUUUUGUUUUAAACUUUUUUUUUAUAUCUGCACUAAAAAGAGAAGUGUUAUAAUUGUCUUUAGACAUUAAUAUAUAUAAAUUCACAUUUAAUUUGACUUUUAAAUUGCAUAUUGUAUUGUUUUCUUAUAUUGGAAUUGUUUUUCAAUACAUGUAUAACAUUAUAAUUUCAGGAUAGAAUGCAAAACUGGUGAAGAUGAAGGUUAUAAUUGUGAUCUACAUAUUGAUUGAUUUGAAGCAGAUUUUGUUCUAGAGUGAAAUAAAAAAAAACUAGUGCAGUGUGUUUUAGAAAGAUGUUCAACUAUUAACACAACAACAAACAUAUUCAUUGUUUGACUGAGAGAUAAAUGAAUAUAAGUGUAAAUAAAGAGUAGAC